Molecule: ribosomal RNA, 490 nt
Filed under: uncultured bacterium
Lineage: Bacteria
Description: partial 16S ribosomal RNA
Rfam family: Bacterial small subunit ribosomal RNA
Source: RNAcentral
GAUGAACGCUAGCUACAGGCUUAACACAUGCAAGUCGCAGGGUAACAUGAGGAAAGCUUGCUUUCCUUGAUGACGACUGGCGCACGGGUGAGUAACGCGUAUCCAACCUUCCCAUAACUACGGGAUAACCCGUUGAAAGACGGCCUAAUACCGUAUGAUAUCGUUUGCUGACAUCAAAUAACGAUUAAAGUUUUAGCGGUUAUGGAUGGGGAUGCGUCUGAUUAGCUUGUUGGCGGGGUAACGGCCCACCAAGGCGACGAUCAGUAGGGGUUCUGAGAGGAAGGUCCCCCACAUUGGAACUGAGACACAGUCCAAAAUCCUACGGAAGGCAGCAGUGAGGAAUAUUGGUCGCUGAGCGCGAGCCUGAACCAGCCAAGUAGCGUGCAGGAUGACGGCCCUAUGGGUUGUAAACUGCUUUUAUGUGGGGAUAAAGUGCGUGACGUGUCAUGCCUUGCAGGUACCAAAUGAAUAAGGACCGGCUAAUUCCGUG